GCAGGGAGGAAUAUUGGGCAAUGGGCGGGAGCCUGAUCCAGCCAUGCCGCGUGCAGGAAGACUGCCCUAUGGGUUGUAAACUGCUUUUGUACAGGAAGAAACACUCCCUCGUGAGGGAGCUUGACGGUACUGUAAGAAUAAGGAUCGGCUAACUCCGUGCCAGCAGCCGCGGUAAUACGGAGGAUCCAAGCGUUAUCCGGAAUCAUUGGGUUUAAAGGGUCCGUAGGUGGAUGAUUAAGUCAGAGGUGAAAUCCUGCAGCUCAACUGUAGAAUUGCCUUUGAUACUGGUUGUCUUGAAUUAUUGUGAAGUAGUUAGAAUAUGUGGUGUAGCGGUGAAAUGCAUAGAUAUCACAUAGAAUACCGAUUGCGAAGGCAGAUUACUAACAAUACAUUGACACUGAUGGACGAAAGCGUGGGGAGCGAACAGGAUUAGAUACCCUGGUAGUCCACGCCGUAAACGAUGGAUACUAGCUGUUCGGAUUUAUCUGAGUGGCUAAGCGAAAGUGAUAAGUAUCCCACCUGGGGAGUACGUUCGCAAGAAUGAAACUCAAAGGAAUUGACGG
RNAcentral lists this ribosomal RNA (563 nucleotides) under uncultured bacterium. RNAcentral describes it as "bacterial SSU rRNA". It matches the Rfam family "Bacterial small subunit ribosomal RNA", at positions 351 to 916 of the family's 1533-position model. The record is from RNAcentral.